GAUGAACGCUAGCUACAGGCUUAACACAUGCAAGUCGAGGGGUAACGAGAGGGAAGCUUGCUUUCCUUGUCGACGACCGGCGCACGGGUGAGUAACGCGUAUCCAACCUGCCCCCAACUAGGGAAUAACCUUGCGAAAGUAAGACUAAUACCCUAUAAUUUCCUCAGAUGUCAUCUGACGAGGAAUAAAGAUUUAUCGGUUGUGGAUGGGGAUGCGUCUGAUUAGCUUGUUGGCGGGGUAACGGCCCACCAAGGCAACGAUCAGUAGGGGUUCUGAGAGGAAGGUCCGCCACAUGGGAACUGAGACACGGGCCAAACUCCUACGGGAGGCAGCAGGGAGGAAUAUUGGUCAAUGGGCGGAAGCCUGAACCAGCCAAUUAGCGUGCAGGAUGACGGCCCUAUGGGUUGUAAACUGCUUUUAUACAGGAAUAAAGUUAGCCACGUGUGGUUAUUUGUAGGUACUGUAUGAAUAAGGACCGGCUAAUUCCGUGCCAGCAGCCGCCGUAA
This 506-nucleotide ribosomal RNA is filed under the name uncultured bacterium. RNAcentral's name for it is "partial 16S ribosomal RNA". It matches the Rfam family "Bacterial small subunit ribosomal RNA", at positions 28 to 523 of the family's 1533-position model. The record is from RNAcentral.